Molecule: long non-coding RNA, 1462 nt
Filed under: Felis catus (domestic cat)
Lineage: Eukaryota; Metazoa; Chordata; Mammalia; Carnivora; Felidae
Description: lncRNA (ENSFCAG00000052741.1)
Source: RNAcentral
AAAAAACAAAAAGAGCUACACCAUGUAUCCUACUCUCUAGUGAGUCAUCCUAAUUCACAGAAAGCUAGUAGAAUGUCGUAGACUCUGGGGCUGGAGUUCUCUCUUGUCCAGCAAGAGCGCGGACGCGGGAUUAAAAUGCAAGAGAGGCUGAUGUCCAGGAGGAGACAAGAGCCCCAGAGCAGGCCUUCAUGGACGUAUUGCCUACUUUGCCUGACAACGGGAAACCGCUGGAAUUUACCGGCCUUAUGAGCUUCCUUCACGUACUUUUGCAUUGGGGAAGAGAUUGUAAUCUGGUGCCUUUCUCUUGGAGCUCUUUAGUCGCUCCACGGCGUCCUGCAGUCCUUGAGUCGCACCGCCUCCUGGCCAUGUCGGCCUGUAGUGCUCUGGGUUCCAAUCCCGCCGGCGUCACCAUCUGUCAUAGACUCUGGGUCUGGAGUUCUCUCUUGUCCAGCAAGAGCGCGGACGCGGGAUUAAAAUGCAAGAGAGGCUGAUGUCCAGGAGGAGACAAGAGCCCCAGGUAAGGGUCCUUGCUCCGUUUUUAUUAGGAUCAGAGGGCCGGCAAGCAUGAUGGACGUGCACAAGGAGACAAUGAAAUCGUGAUCAUUAACUCACGGGUGUGGGGGAGAGGGGGUUUUGAAGAUACGCGGUGUCAGGGGUUUGGGUCGAUACAAAACAAAAUCCUGGCGCCGGGAGGAUGGUUGUUUACAGCAGACAUGAGACACCACAUCUGUUUGUCUAAACUUGCCUAGGGGACAAGAAAGGCAGAGCAUGCUACCUCAGGGUCAACAAGGCAGCUUUCUUUUGCUAAUUAGCUCUGCUCUGGGCAACUUCGCCCUGCCAUGGACUGCAGCCCUCUGUGUUCCUGUUUUUGUCCUUCCUUCCUGUGAAAGCGGCUUUCUGCUAUUGUACUAAGUUGGGAGAUGCUUCCGCCCUGAAUGCCUAAUCUUGUUUACCUCAUCUUGGAUGCUUUCAUCCUGAGAUUUCCAAUUCCUAUGCCUUUGCCCUGUUUACCUAAUCUUAUUUACCUAAUCUUGGAUGCGUUCAUCCUGGGACGUUCUAUGUCUUUACGCCUCGUUAACCCAUCGGCGCAAGCUCAGGGAAUUCCUAAAUGGACUCCCCACAGUAGAAUAUCUAAGGAAAUGGAGAGCACUUAUGCCUUGUUCUCCAGAAGCAGACCCUCCCUAACGUGAGGGCUCAAAUUUGUGCCCUCAAAAUUUGAUUUCUUUAAAACGUGUUCCGGGGCGCCUGGGUGGCGCAGUCGGUUAAGCGUCCGACUUCAGCCAGGUCACGAUCUCGCGGUCCGUGAGUUCGAGCCCCGCGUCGGGCUCCGGGCUGAUGGCUCGGAGCCUGGAGCCUGUUUCCGAUUCUGUGUCUCCCUCUCUCUCUGCCCCUCCCCCGUUCAUGCUCUGUCUCUCUCUGUCCCAAAAAUAAAUAAACGUUGAAAAAAAAUUAAAAAAAAAAU